AGAACGAACGCUGGCGGCAGGCCUAACACAUGCAAGUCGAACGAAGCCUUCGGGCUUAGUGGCGGACGGGUUAGUAACGCGUGGGAACGUGCCUUUCACUACGGAAUAGUCCCGGGAAACUGGGUUUAAUACCGUAUACGCCCUUCGGGGGAAAGAAUUUCGGUGAAAGAUCGGCCCGCGUUAGAUUAGGUAGUUGGUGGGGUAAUGGCCUACCAAGCCUACGAUCUAUAGCUGGUUUUAGAGGAUGAUCAGCAACACUGGGACUGAGACACGGCCCAGACUCCUACGGGAGGCAGCAGUGGGGAAUCUUGGACAAUGGGCGCAAGCCUGAUCCAGCCAUGCCGCGUGAGUGAUGAAGGCCUUAGGGUCGUAAAGCUCUUUCGCCAGGGAUGAUAAUGACAGUACCUGGUAAAGAAACCCCGGCUAACUCCGUGCCAGCAGCCGCGGUAAUACGGAGGGGGUUAGCGUUGUUCGGAAUUACUGGGCGUAAAGCGCGCGUAGGCGGAUUGGAAAGUUGGGGGUGAAAUCCCGGGGCUCAACCCCGGAACGGCCUCCAAAACUCCCAGUCUUGAGUUCGAGAGAGGUGAGUGGAAUUCCGAGUGUAGAGGUGAAAUUCGUAGAUAUUCGGAGGAACACCAGUGGCGAAGGCGGCUCACUGGCUCGAUACUGAC
RNAcentral lists this ribosomal RNA (671 nucleotides) under Roseovarius sp. Pbc-contt1. Its description in RNAcentral is "bacterial SSU rRNA". It matches the Rfam family "Bacterial small subunit ribosomal RNA", at positions 26 to 744 of the family's 1533-position model. Lineage: Bacteria; Pseudomonadati; Pseudomonadota; Alphaproteobacteria; Rhodobacterales; Roseobacteraceae. The record is from RNAcentral.